Fragaria vesca subsp. vesca is the source of this 648-nucleotide RNA transcript. It is a transcript of the gene named protein yippee-like At5g53940-like, with no coding region annotated. NCBI's taxonomy places the organism in Eukaryota, Viridiplantae, Streptophyta, Magnoliopsida, Rosales, Rosaceae. The record is from RefSeq and is a predicted model, not a curated record. The transcript is spliced from 5 exons.
GGCUCCUUCACUUGUUUCGUCAGAAGGUCAGGACCUCUAAGAAGAAGAAGAAGAAGAAGAAUUACUGUACUGUGUUAGAUGGGAAGGAUAUUCGUGGUAGAGCUAGAGGGAAGGUCUUACAGAUGCAAGUUCUGCAAGACCCACUUGGCCCUCGCCUCCGACUGUGUUUCUCGGGCUUUUCAUUGCCGCAGGGGAAAAGCCUUCCUCUUCAACAAUGCGGUGAAUAUUACAAUUGGAGCAUUAGAGGAGAGGAUGAUGCUCUCAGGUGUGCACACUGUUGCGGAUACAUUUUGCUGCUUUUGUGGACAAAUUAGUUGGGCUGGAAAUAUGAGACUGCACAUGAGACGGCGCAGAAAUAUAAAGAGGGGAAGUUUGUCCUUGAAAGGGGGAGGAUCGUUGAGGAAGUAGAUUUUUCUACAGAGUUCGAUAUUGAUUCUGAAGAUGGUCUGGAUUUUUAAUUUUCUCUUGAGUAGUUGUACCGGACAAUGCAGAACUGUUCUUAGGAUUUGAAUAAUGUAGAGUGAAACUUACAAGUUUGUUAGUAUGCAAGUAACUUCCUGAAUCAAUAAGGCAAGUAAAAGUGCACCAAGUGAUCAUACGUUUCGGUGUAUGUUAUCAAAGAUGGUUUCAUGCUACAGCAGUUGUACU